UUCUGGUCGAUCCCGGCGGAGGUCAUUGCUAUCGGAGUCCGAUUUAGCCAUGCUAGUUGUACGAAUUCAUAUCCGUAGCAGAUAGCUCAGUAACACGUGGCCAAACUACCCUAUAGACCAGAAUAACCUCGGGAAACUGAGGCUAAUGCUGGAUACUCCUCUAUCCUGGAAUGGAUCGAGGUACAAACGCUCCGGCGCUAUAGGAUGUGGCUGCGGCCGAUUAGGUAGACGGUGGGGUAACGACCCACCGUGCCAAUAAUCGGUACGGGUUGUGAGAGCAAGAGCCCGGAGACGGAAUCUGAGACAAGAUUCCGGGCCCUACGGGGCGCAGCAGGCGCGAAAACUUUACACUGCACGACAGUGCGAUAAGGGGACUCCGAGUGCGUGGGCAUAGUGCCCUCGCUUUUGUGAACCGUAGGGAGGUUCACGAAUAAGAACUGGGCAAGACCAGUGCCAGCCGCCGCGGUAGCACCGGCAGUUCAAGUGAUGACCAAUUUUAUUGGGCCUAAAGCGUCCGUAGCCGGCCAGGCAAGUCUGUUGGGAAAUCUGCUCGCUCAACGAGCAGGCGUCCAGCGGAUACUGUUUGGCUCGGGACCGAGAGACUCAAGGGGUACGUCUGGGGUAGGAGUGAAAUCCUGUAAUCCUGGACGGACCGCCGAUGGCGAAAGCACCUUGAGAGAACGGAUCCGANGGUGAGGGACGAAAGCUGGGGUCACGAACCGGAUUAGAUACCCGGGUAGUCCCAGCUGUAAACGAUGCCAGUUAGGUUUGGCGCGGGCUACGAGCUCGUGCUGUACCGCAGUGAAGACGAUAAACUGGCCGCCUGGGAAGUACGUCCGCAAGGAUGAAACUUAAAGGAAUUGGCGGGGGAGCACUACAACCGGAGGAGCCUGCGGUUUAAUUGGACUCAACGCCGGACAUCUCACCAGCUCCGACAGUAUGCAGUGAAAGUCAGUGUGAUGAGCUUACUUGAGCUACUGAGAGGAGGUGCAUGGCCGCCGUCAGCUCGUACCGUGAGGCGUCCUGUUAAGUCAGGCAACGAGCGAGACCC
Molecule: ribosomal RNA, 1051 nt
Filed under: uncultured archaeon 2C129
Lineage: Archaea
Description: bacterial SSU rRNA
Rfam family: Archaeal small subunit ribosomal RNA
Source: RNAcentral